AGUAAUACUUAGGAAUCUACCUAGUAGUGGGGGAUAGCUCGGGGAAACUCGAAUUAAUACCGCAUACGACCUACGGGAGAAAGGGGGCAACUUGUUGCUCUCGCUAUUAGAUGAGCCUAAGUCGGAUUAGCUAGAUGGUGGGGUAAAGGCCUACCAUGGCGACGAUCUGUAGCUGGUCUGAGAGGAUGAUCAGCCACACCGGGACUGAGACACGGCCCGGACUCCUACGGGAGGCAGCAGUGGGGAAUAUUGGACAAUGGGGGCAACCCUGAUCCAGCCAUGCCGCGUGUGUGAAGAAGGCCUUUUGGUUGUAAAGCACUUUAAGCAGUGAAGAAGACUCCAUGGUUAAUACCCAUGGACGAUGACAUUAGCUGCAGAAUAAGCACCGGCUAACUCUGUGCCAGCAGCCGCGGUAAUACAGAGGGUGCAAGCGUUAAUCGGAAUUACUGGGCGUAAAGCGAGCGUAGGUGGCUUGAUAAGUCAGAUGUGAAAGCCCCGGGCUUAACCUGGGAACGGCAUCUGAUACUGUUAGGCUAGAGUAGGUGAGAGGAAGGUAGAAUUCCAGGUGUAGCGGUGAAAUGCGUAGAGAUCUGGAGGAAUACCGAUGGCGAAGGCAGCCUUCUGGCAUCAUACUGACACUGA
RNAcentral lists this ribosomal RNA (642 nucleotides) under unidentified microorganism. RNAcentral's name for it is "bacterial SSU rRNA". It matches the Rfam family "Bacterial small subunit ribosomal RNA", at positions 109 to 749 of the family's 1533-position model. The record is from RNAcentral.